This 322-nucleotide ribosomal RNA is filed under the name Arytainilla gredi. RNAcentral describes it as "partial 12S ribosomal RNA". The record is from RNAcentral. Lineage: Eukaryota; Metazoa; Arthropoda; Insecta; Hemiptera; Psyllidae.
GAGUAGUAUAAGAUAUAAUCUCGAAACUCAAAAAAUUUGGCGGUAUUUUAUCUUAUUAGAGGAACCUGUUUAUUAAUUGAUACUCCACAACUUUAAUUUACUUUUUUUAUAUUACUUGUAUACCGUUGUCAUGAAUCUACUAAAAAGUUAUUUUCAGGAGUUUUUAUAAAGUUUAUGUUAGAUCAAGGUGCAGUUUUUAAAAGAAAAAAAUGGGUUACAUUAUUUAUUAUGAAUGAAAAUUAUUACUAAAUUAAUAAUGAAAAUAGGAUUUAAUAGUAAAGGGAAUUAAAAGUGUUUUGAUGAAUUAAGAUUCUAAAAUAUG